Molecule: ribosomal RNA, 496 nt
Filed under: uncultured bacterium
Lineage: Bacteria
Description: partial 16S ribosomal RNA
Rfam family: Bacterial small subunit ribosomal RNA
Source: RNAcentral
GAUGAACGCUGGCGGGGGGCCUAUUACAGGCAAGUGGGGGGAAGGGAGGGAAAGUUGGCUUCCUGAUGUUAGGGGGGGGAGGGGUGGGAAACAGGUGGAAACCUACCUAUAAGGAUGGGGUAAAUUUGGGAAACCGGGAGUAAAAACGGGUAAAAUUUUGAAACGGAAGGGUUAAAAGGGGAAAACGGUUCUGGUGGCAACUAUAGGUGGAUCCGCGCUGCAUUAGCUAGUUGGUAAGGUAACGGCUUACCAAGGCAACGAUGCAUAGCCGACCUGAGAGGGUGAUCGGCCACACUGGAACUGAGACACGGUCCAGACUCCUACGGGAGGCAGCAGUAGGGAAUCUUCCGCAAUGGGCGAAAGCCUGACGGAGCAACGCCGCGUGAGUGAUGAAGGUCUUCGGAUCGUAAAACUCUGUUAUUAGGGAAGAACAUAUGUGUAAGUAACUGUGCACAUCUUGACGGUACCUAAUCAGAAAGCCACGGCUAACUACGUG